Ostrinia nubilalis (European corn borer) is the source of this 326-nucleotide long non-coding RNA. RefSeq lists it as uncharacterized. The transcript has 2 exons. Lineage: Eukaryota; Metazoa; Arthropoda; Insecta; Lepidoptera; Crambidae. The record is from RefSeq and is a predicted model, not a curated record.
GGAGCCAAGUUCGAGGGUCUCCAAAGGGCCGCGGAUGAGAGCGGGACGGGCCCGUGCGCACAGCCGAUGCGUCUGCCUGGAGACCCGUGCCGCGUGGGGCCGAAGCCCCGCAAGUCUGCUCCGAGGACCAUGUCCAAGCAAGCCGGCGGCGGCGGCGCCAGCGACCCGAGGGCCAAAUGCGAAACAACGUCAGCAGUGCCGCCUCUCGGCAAGACGGAGUACCAGGACGGCGUGUCGAAGCUCGGCGCCAUCAUCAUGCGAGACAAGCUGCACAGGAAGUAAAAACCCAACUUGUGGACGAUCAUGGAGUAAAAUUGUUAUUAUUA